This 253-nucleotide ribosomal RNA is filed under the name uncultured bacterium. RNAcentral's name for it is "partial 16S ribosomal RNA". It matches the Rfam family "Bacterial small subunit ribosomal RNA", at positions 524 to 776 of the family's 1533-position model. The record is from RNAcentral.
UACGGGGGGGGCAAGCGUUGUUCGGAAUUACUGGGCGUAAAGGGCGCGUAGGCGGCCUGCUAAGUCACACGUGAAAUCCCUCGGCUCAACCGGGGAACUGCGUGUGAUACUGGCGGGCUUGAAUUCGGGAGAGGGAUGUGGAAUUCCAGGUGUAGCGGUGAAAUGCGUAGAUAUCUGGAGGAACACCGGUGGCGAAGGCGGCAUCCUGGGCCAACACUGACGCUCAUGCACGAAAGCGUGGGGAGCAAACAGG